UCGCCGAAAGAUCGGCCCGCGUCUGAUUAGCUUGUUGGUGAGGUAACGGCUCACCAAGGCGACGAUCAGUAGCUGGUCUGAGAGGAUGAUCAGCCACAUUGGGACUGAGACACGGCCCAA
Molecule: ribosomal RNA, 120 nt
Filed under: uncultured bacterium
Lineage: Bacteria
Description: partial 16S ribosomal RNA
Rfam family: Bacterial small subunit ribosomal RNA
Source: RNAcentral